RNAcentral lists this ribosomal RNA (252 nucleotides) under uncultured bacterium. RNAcentral describes it as "partial 16S ribosomal RNA". It matches the Rfam family "Bacterial small subunit ribosomal RNA", at positions 524 to 776 of the family's 1533-position model. The record is from RNAcentral.
UACGUAGGUCCCGAGCGUUGUCCGGAUUUAUUGGGCGUAAAGCGAGCGCAGGUGGUUUAUUAAGUCUGGUGUAAAAGGCAGUGGCUCAACCAUUGUAUGCAUUGGAAACUGGUAGACUUGAGUGCAGGAGAGGAGAGUGAAAUUCCAUGUGUAGCGGUGAAAUGCGUAGAUAUAUGGAGGAACACCAGUGGCGAAAGCGGCUCUCUGGCCUGUAACUGACACUGAGGCUCGAAAGCGUGGGGAGCAAACAGG